This 466-nucleotide ribosomal RNA is filed under the name uncultured ammonia-oxidizing beta proteobacterium. RNAcentral describes it as "bacterial SSU rRNA". It matches the Rfam family "Bacterial small subunit ribosomal RNA", at positions 198 to 645 of the family's 1533-position model. Lineage: Bacteria; Pseudomonadati; Pseudomonadota; Betaproteobacteria. The record is from RNAcentral.
GGAGGAAAGUAGGGGAUCGCAAGACCUUACGCUUUUGGAGCGGCCGAUGUCUGAUUAGCUUGUUGGUGAGGUAAAGGCUUACCAAGGCUUCGAUCAGUAGCUGGUCUGAGAGGACGACCAGCCACACUGGGACUGAGACACGGCCCAGACUCCUACGGGAGGCAGCAGUGGGGAAUUUUGGACAAUGGGGGAAACCCUGAUCCAGCCAUGCCGCGUGAGUGAAGAAGGCCUUCGGGUUGUAAAGCUCUUUCAGCCGGAACGAAACGGUUACGAUUAACACCUGUAACUACUGACGGUACCGGAAGAAGAAGCACCGGCUAACUACGUGCCAGCAGCCGCGGUAAUACGUAGGGUGCGAGCGUUAAUCGGAAUUACUGGGCGUAAAGCGUGCGCAGGUGGUUUUGUAAGUCAGAUGUGAAAUCCCCGGGCUUAACCUGGGAACUGCGUUUGAAACUACAAAGCUAGA